Molecule: unclassified non-coding RNA, 1110 nt
Filed under: Hevea brasiliensis (rubber tree)
Lineage: Eukaryota; Viridiplantae; Streptophyta; Magnoliopsida; Malpighiales; Euphorbiaceae
Source: RNAcentral
UUUUUUUUUUUUUUUUUUUUUCUACCUUGUUAGGUAGAUGAAGAAUAACUAAAAAGAUCAGACCAAAUGAAGAUACAGUCUCAGAUACAUACUGCAUAUGAAUGUGAUCAGGGCAAAUCUAGCACAAUCGUUCUAUCAUGUAUAAAUUUAUCUUGUUAUGCUUCUCUCUUUGAUAAAGAAGGUUUUUGUACAUCUAAGAUUUGGCAGUUGGUGUGGCAAUUCAUUUUAAUUUAGCUGUCAUGUUUGGGCUGAGUUCCAUUUCUUAUUAGCCUUAAUUAUAUGUUGGUUGGUUAUUUUUAUUCAUUUUUUUAAUAAUCGCCAAACACAUUGAUUUAUUUAAAACUCUUUUUAUAUAUAUGGUACAUUGGAAAGUAUUUAUUGGCAAUGAUUUAAGCUCAUACAUAUAUAUACAUGGCUUUGAUGAGUGGUUCUUUUCCUUCAAUGUGGUUGGCUGGGUUCCUCUUCCUGUAGGAAGGCGAAGGUAAAUACUGGCGACAGUGUUAUUCCAAGAGUGUCCAAAGCUGCCUCAGUGGGCCUUGUGCACCAAUAGAGGGGGCUAUGGCUAGGCGGAUUUGCUUGUAAUUUGGCAGCUUGCGAUGUAUACAGGUUGAGUUUUGGAGGUUGCUACGUGGUUUGGAUCUUGUAUUAGAUUUUAAUUUCUUGUCAUUGUAAUUAGGCCAGAUCAGGAGCUUCAGUUUGCCAAUGAAGUUCAGAAACCACAGAGGCUUUGUGCUUGUGGAUUAUGUUACAAAAGCAAGAGGCACGUAAUGCAGUUCAAGCACUUUCAAGCGCCCAUCUGUAUGGUCGACAUUAGGCUCUGGACAGAGCAAAGGAGGGCCCGAAACAGCUGCUCAAUUUAUUGAAGAGCAAAAUGGGUUGCAUAAUCCAACUAAGUUACCAAAGACAAGGAAGCACAUGGCUGUAUUUGGAUGAAGGAACGAUGAAAUUUCAAAAUAUUGAUUCUUAGAAAAAAAAUGACAUAAAGCUCUUCUUAAUUUGUUUCAGUAGCAUUUUCAAGCUUCUUCUUAAUUUGAUUUUUUUUCUUUAAAUUCCUCCUCCUUUUCAAUGUUGUGCCUUCAUGAUCAGAGCCAUGCCUUGCUGUAUAUUAAG